This is a non-coding RNA of Macaca mulatta (Rhesus monkey), 1562 nucleotides long. The record is from RefSeq and is a predicted model, not a curated record. NCBI's taxonomy places the organism in Eukaryota, Metazoa, Chordata, Mammalia, Primates, Cercopithecidae.
GAUUUGGGGAAGGGGUGGCGGGGGAGAUCCCACACAAGCAGCCAAUCCAGCUGUCCCGGGGAGGAAGAGGAGGAGUCAAGGCCCGCCCCGGGUCUCCGCACUGCUCAGUCCCGCUCUGUGGGGUUGGCACGGUUGCAGCUCUUCGGUCCCUUUGGUUCUCUUAGUCCCGAGCGCUCGCCCACUGCAGCUUCCUUUCCCGUGCAGAUAUGGCCUCUGGCACCACCACCACCGCCGUGAAGAUUGGAAUAAUUGGUGGAACAGGCCUGGAUGAUCCAGAAAUUUUAGAAGGAAGAACUGAAAAAUAUGUGGAUACUCCAUUUGGCAAGCCAUCUGAUGCCUUAAUUUUGGGGAAGAUAAAAAAUGUUGAUUGCGUCCUUCUUGCAAGGCAUGGAAGGCAGCACACCAUCAUGCCUUCAAAGGUCAACUACCAGGCGAACAUCUGGGCUUUGAAGGAAGAGGGCUGUACACAUGUCAUAGUGACCACAGCCUGUGGCUCCUUGAGGGAGGAGAUUCAGCCCGGUGAUAUUGUCAUUAUUGAUCAAUUCAUUGACAGGACCACUAUGAGACCUCAGUCCUUCUAUGAUGGAAGUCAUUCUUGUGCCAGAGGAGUGUGCCAUAUUCCAAUGGCUGAGCCGUUUUGCCCCAAAACGAGAGAGGUUCUUAUAGAGACUGCUAAGAAGCUAGGACUCCGGUGCCACUCCAAGGGGACAAUGGUCACAAUCGAGGGACCUCGUUUUAGCUCCCGGGCAGAAAGCUUCAUGUUCCGCACCUGGGGGGCGGAUGUAAUCAACAUGACCACAGUUCCAGAGGUGGUUCUUGCUAAGGAGGCUGGAAUCUGUUACGCAAGUAUCGCCAUGGCGACAGAUUAUGACUGCUGGAAGGAGCAUGAGGAAGCAGUAGGUGGAAUUCUCUUCUGAGCACAUAUAGCAUGGGUUUCUGGGUGCCAAUAAGAGGAUGUCUUAACUGUUUGUUUCUAUUACAUUAGUUUCAGAAAGUGCCUUUCUACAAGGUUUUAAGUUGUCAACAUUUUCUAUAGUUCCUAUUGGAAGGUUUCGGUGGACCGGGUCUUAAAGACCCUGAAAGAAAAUGCUAAUAAAGCCAAAAGCUUACUGCUGACUACUAUACCUCAGAUAGGGUCCACGGAAUGGUCAGAAACCCUCCAUAACCUGAAGAAUAUGGCCCAGUUUUCUGUUUUAUUACCAAGACAUUAAAGUAGCAUGACUGCCCAGGAGAAAAGAAGACAUUCUAAUUCCAGUCAUUUUGGAAAUUCCUGCUUAACUUGAAAAAAAUAUGGGAAAGACAUGCAGCUUUCAUGCCCUUGCCUGUCAAAGAGCAUGUUGUAAGAAAGACAAGACAUUGUGUGUAUUAGAGACUCCUCAAUGACUUGGACAACUUCAAAAUACAGAAGAAAAGCAAAUGAUCAGUAAACAUGUGGGAAAAAAUAUUACAUUGUAGAGGGAAAAAAAAACCACCAUUAUCUUCUCCCCCUAUUAAAUUUGCAACAAUAAAGGUUGGAAGGUAAUCUCUACUUUCCUAUACUGCCAAAGAAUAUGAGGAAGAAA